RNAcentral lists this ribosomal RNA (254 nucleotides) under uncultured bacterium. Its description in RNAcentral is "partial 16S ribosomal RNA". It matches the Rfam family "Bacterial small subunit ribosomal RNA", at positions 524 to 776 of the family's 1533-position model. The record is from RNAcentral.
UACGUAGGCAGCGAGCGUUGUUCGGAGUUACUGGGCGUAAAGAGUGCGUAGGCGGUUUUCUAAGUGAGAUGCGAAAUCCAACGGCUCAACCGUUUGGACUGUAUUUCAUACUGGCAUGCUUGAGGACAUGAGAGGCAAGUGGAAUUUGUAGUGUAGCAGUGAAAUGCGUAGAUAUUACAAGGAACACCAAUGGCGAAGGCAGCUUGCUGGCAUGUAUCUGACGCUGAGGUACGAAAGCGUGGGGAGCGAACAGG